AGGGCGCAAGGAGAAUGCCUUGGCACUGGGAGCCGAUGAAAGACGUGGUAAGCUGCGAUAAGCUUCGGGGAGGAGCAAACAUCCUUUGAUCCGGAGAUUUCUGAAUGAGGAAACUCACCGGAGUUCAUACUCUGGUAUCCUGUACUGAAUCCAUAGGUACAGGAGGGGAACCGCCUGAACUGAAACAUCUAAGUAGGGCGAGGAAGAGACAUCAAACGAGAUUCCGUUAGUAGUGGCGAGCGAACGCGGAAGAGGGCAAACCGGAAGGAGAAAUCCUUCCGGGGUAUGGACCGCUUUUAGGACUUUAGCUGUUAAUCGAAUGGCAUGGGAAGGCCAACCAAAGAGUGUGAGAGUCACGUAGAUGAAAACGGCGAGAGCUGCGCGAGUUCCAGAGUACGGCCAGACACGUGAAACCUGGUCGGAAGAUGGGGGGACCACCCUCCAACCCUAAAUACUACCCAGUGACCGAUAGCGUAUAGUACUGUGAAGGAAAGGUGAAAAGGACCCCGGGAGGGGAGUGAAAUAGAACCUGAAACCUUGUGCCUACAAGCACAUAGAGCACAUCAACGUGUGAUAUGGUACUUUUUGUAGAACGGUCCGGCGAGCGAUUGUAUGUUGCGAGCUUAAGGUCUUAAGGACUGGAGGCGCAGCGAGAGCGAGUCUGAAGAGGGCGUUCAGUAACAUGCAAUGGGCCCGAAACCGGGUGACCUACCCAUGAUCAGGCUGAAGUGAAAGUAAAAUUUCAUGGAGGGCCGAACCGACCUCCGUUGAAAAGGCGGCGGAUGAAUUGUGGGUAGCGGAGAAAUUCCAAUCGAACUCGGAGAUAGCUGGUUCUCCCCGAAAUAGCUUUAGGGCUAGCGUUAUCUUAGAUUACCGGAGGUAAAGCACUGAAUGGGCUAGGGGGCGAUAAGCUUACUGAACCCUAUCAAACUCAGAAUGCCGGCUAAUUGAUGGAUAGCAGUCAGACAGUGUGAGAUAAGUUUCAUUGUCAAAAGGGAAACAGCCCAGACCCACAGCUAAGGUCCCAAAUGUAUGCUAAGUGGAAAACGAUGUGGAAUUGCGAAAACAACCAGGAUGUUGGCUUAGAAGCAGCCACUCAUUAAAAGAGUGCGUAAUAGCUCACUGGUCGAGUGACCCUGCGCGGAAAAUAUAACGGGGCUAAGCGUCCAACCGAAGCUUGGGAUGUCGAAUGACAUGGUAGGGGAGCGUCGUGUACGGGGUGAAGCAUGAGCGAGAGCACAUGUGGACUUUACACGAGUGAGAAUGCCGGAAUGAGUAGCGAGAAUUAUGUGGGAAUCAUAAUGGCCGAAAAUCUAAGGUUUCUUGGGGAAGGUUCGUCCGCCCAAGGUAAGCCGGGAGCUAAGGCGAGGCCGAAAGGCGUAGUCGAUGCACAUACGGUUGAAAUUCCGUAGCCGCCGAAAUUGUUAAGCACAGGGACACAUAGAGAUAUCCGAACCCGGGCGUUGGUUGACCCGGGCGCAAGGGACCGAACAUCAGUAGGGAAGUCGGAGAUGCUCUGUGGCGAGAAAAGCUGUGCGUAUUGAUUAGGCGCCCGUACCGCAAACCGACACAGGUAGAUGAGGAGAGAAUCCUAAGGCCAACGGGAGAAGGGUUGUUAAGGAACUCGGCAAAUUGACCCCGUAACUUCGGGAGAAGGGGUGCUCCAGAGAUGGAGCCGCAGAGAAUCGGCCCAAGCAACUGUUUACCAAAAACACAGGUUUGUGCUAAAUCGAAAGAUGACGUAUACGAGCUGACGCCUGCCCGGUGCUGGAAGGUUAAGAGGAGAUGUGCAAGCAUUGAAUCGAAGCCCCAGUGAACGGCGGCCGUAACUAUAACGGUCCUAAGGUAGCGAAAUUCCUUGUCAGGUAAGUUCUGACCCGCACGAAUGGCGUAAUGAUUUGGGCACUGUCUCAACAGCCCGCCCGGCGAAAUUGUAGUACUGGUGAAGAUGCCAGUUACCCGCAACUAGACGGAAAGACCCCAUGGAGCUUUACUGUAGCUUAAUACUGAAGAUCGGUAAUGCAUGUACAGGAUAGGUGGGAGCCUAGGAAACCCGGGCGUCAGCUUGGGCGGAGGCAACCUUGGAAUACCACCCUUGUAUUGCUGGUUUUCUAACCUGCGGCCAUGAAUCUGGUCGGGGGACACUGUUAGGUGGGCAGUUUGACUGGGGCGGUCGCCUCCAAAAGCGUAACGGAGGCGCUCAAAGGUUGGCUCAGCACGGACGGAAAUCGUGCAUAGAGUGCAAACGCAUAAGCCAACUUGACUGCGAGACCGACGGGUCGAGCAGGUACGAAAGUAGGAGUUAGUGAUCCGGUGGUAUGUGAGUGGAAAUGCCAUCGCUCAACGGAUAAAA
RNAcentral lists this ribosomal RNA (2353 nucleotides) under human gut metagenome. RNAcentral describes it as "bacterial LSU rRNA". It matches the Rfam family "Bacterial large subunit ribosomal RNA", at positions 14 to 2461 of the family's 2925-position model. The record is from RNAcentral.